Molecule: ribosomal RNA, 700 nt
Filed under: Bursaphelenchus corneolus
Lineage: Eukaryota; Metazoa; Nematoda; Chromadorea; Rhabditida; Aphelenchoididae
Description: eukaryotic LSU rRNA
Rfam family: Eukaryotic large subunit ribosomal RNA
Source: RNAcentral
AACGUGAAACCGGUGUAAUGGAAGCAUAUGGAGUUGACGUAUCUGGUGCGUAUUCAGUUGUUCGCGCGUUGUGCGGGUCGCGUUGUUUCCAUUCCGCAAGGUUGGCGACGCGGCGGCGCAGCGUGCGGCGAUGCAUUUACGUACGGAGUGCGCCGAGUCGCGUGGUGGCGUCGGUCGAAGCCGUUUAAGAGGACGCAGCCUUCGCGGGCGGUGAAACCUUGCGCGGUGUAGGUCGAUUGUCGGCUGCGUGAUUUCGUGGAUUGUGCGGGCGUUCAGCGCGCGCGGCGUCGCGUUGUUGCGGUUGGUUUACGUUUGCACGCGUGCGUGCGGCGUUCGUCGGCCGUAAAAGCGUGGUGUCGUGCACCGCACACUUCUCGGUGUAUAGUCAAUGACCCAUUUGACCCGUCUUGAAACACGGACCAAGGAGUUUAUGGUAUACGCGAGUCAUUGGGCUUACGAAACCCAAAGGCGCAAUGAAAGUGAGACCGUUCAGCGGUUUUAAUGUGAUCGAGGGUUUUGUUUCGACGGCCCUUGAGCAACAUUGCCCCGUUUCGAGGACUUGUCCUGUUGCGGAGGUUGAGCGUAUGCUAUGAGACCCGAAAGAUGGUGAACUAUGCCUGAACAGGAUGAAGCCAGAGGAAACUCUGGUGGAAGUCCGAAGCGGUUCUGACGUGCAAAUCGAUCGUCUGAUUUGGUAUAC